AUGCACGCCGUCGUCCUCCGGUGCGAAGCCCUCGAGGAGCCCGACGUCCAGGCCACCAGCUGGAUCGCCCAGGUCCGCGACCUCGCCUACGACAUCGAGGAAUGGGUCGACCUCUUCGCCCACCGCGCCGACGCCGGCACCAACAACGCCGACGCCGGCACCUCCCACCGGUUCUCCCGCUGGAUCCGCCGGCUCACCACCAUCCCCGACCGCCACAUCUUCGCCACCGAGCUGAAGGUGCUCCGAGCGUGCGUCGUCGAGGUGAGCAAGCUGCGGAAGCGCUACAGUCUCGACCCGCAGAUGUUGUCUCAUCACGCGCCCGCCGUCGACCCCCGGCUCUUCGCGCUCUACGCCGACAGUGCCGGCCUGCGGCAUGGACGGGCCGCGGGACGAGGUGGCGGGGAUGGUGACCAGAGCGGGCUCGGACGGGCCGUGGGACGAGGUGGCGGGGAUGGCUGUCAAGGUCCAUUGUGCCUUGAUGGUCUCUACAAAUUGCUGCUUUUGAGGUACUUGAACCUCAAGGGGACAUAUGUUAGCGAGCUCCCAGAACAGAUUGGACAGCUAAGAUGCCUGGAUACACUGGACGUGAGAUCCACAAAGGUGAAAGAUCUACCUCCUAGAAUUGUCAAGCUGGAAAAGUCAAUGCAUUUACUCGCCGGGAACGCCAAGUUGCCGAGUGGGGUAACCAAGAUGAAUUCAUUGUUGAUACUUUUGUGCAGCAAUAUUGGGAAGAGCGCUGAGGCGAACAUCAUUCAAGAGCUCAGUGAAAUGGUUGAAGUGCUUGAGCUAAAGUUUGAAGAAGGCCUUUCAGAGGAGUCGAGUGGUGUGUCAUCUGUCUGGCCUGAAGCAUAUGAUCGUCGAGUUUUCACAGCAUUAUGUGGAUGGGCGUUCCGCAGCGUGUUCAGAAUAAUACUUUGCAAGGGACAGCAGCUCGACGUCGAUCAGCAGCAGCAGGUCAUUGUUCUGCUGGCACUCACUUCACCUGAACGGCUGGACCAGAUGAUAGUGGAUAACUGGAUAUACGCAGUGCAGUAUAUUGCUAUAAGGUCGCUAGCACAUGUGAAUUGUUCUCGUCAAGAGCAUGCUUGUGACAUCAUUACUAUAUGUGAUGCAGGGCAAAAGGAUGUUGUCAGAAGGCUUGCAGCUAAGUGUUCAAGUACAAUCUCUAGCCAAGUUCCCUUUGUUGUUGUGUUGUAUUUUGAGGAAAGGUGGUCGAGCAGCUCGUGA
RNAcentral lists this ribosomal RNA (1227 nucleotides) under Triticum aestivum (bread wheat). Its description in RNAcentral is "partial small subunit ribosomal RNA". Lineage: Eukaryota; Viridiplantae; Streptophyta; Magnoliopsida; Poales; Poaceae. The record is from RNAcentral.